This 71-nucleotide transfer RNA is filed under the name Marmota monax (woodchuck). RNAcentral's name for it is "tRNA.Ala". Lineage: Eukaryota; Metazoa; Chordata; Mammalia; Rodentia; Sciuridae. The record is from RNAcentral.
GGGGUUGUGGCUCAGUGGUAGAACGCUUAUCUAGCAUGUGAGAGGCACUGAGUUUGAUACUCAGCACCACA